RNAcentral lists this ribosomal RNA (213 nucleotides) under Triticum aestivum (bread wheat). Its description in RNAcentral is "partial small subunit ribosomal RNA". Lineage: Eukaryota; Viridiplantae; Streptophyta; Magnoliopsida; Poales; Poaceae. The record is from RNAcentral.
AUGCAGGCUGUUAGAGUAGGGUAUAAGUGGUCUGUAGGGAAUGGUAAAUCUAUUAGAUUUUGGGAAGAUAUUUGGCAUGGCAAUGCUCCCUUGGCUACACAAUUUUGGGAUCUUUAUUUCUUAGUGAAUGAGAAAAUAAGACUAUUGCUCAUCUGUGGGAUGGGCAGGAGCUUAAAUGUUCGUUCAGGAGAACGUUUACUGAUGAGCUUAUGA